GGCGGCCGUAACUAUAACGGUCCUAAGGUAGCGAAAUUCCUUGUCGGGUAAGUUCCGACCUGCACGAAUGGCGUAAUGAUGGCCAGGCUGUCUCCACCCGAGACUCAGUGAAAUUGAACUCGCUGUGAAGAUGCAGUGUACCCGCGGCAAGACGGAAAGACCCCGUGAACCUUUACUAUAGCUUGACACUGAACAUUGAGCCUUGAUGUGUAGGAUAGGUGGGAGGCUUGGAAGUGUGGACGCCAGUCUGCAUGGAGCCGACCUUGAAAUACCACCCUUUAAUGUUUGAUGUUCUAACGUUGACCCGUAAUCCGGGUUGCGGACAGUGUCUGGUGGGUAGUUUGACUGGGGCGGUCUCCUCCUAAAGAGUAACGGAGGAGCACGAAGGUUGGCUAAUCCUGGUCGGACAUCAGGAGGUUAGUGCAAUGGCAUAAGCCAGCUUGACUGCGAGCGUGACGGCGCGAGCAGGUGCGAAAGCAGGUCAUAGUGAUCCGGUGGUUCUGAAUGGAAGGGCCAUCGCUCAACGGAUAAAAGGUACUCCGGGGAUAACAGGCUGAUACCGCCCAAGAGUUCAUAUCGACGGCGGUGUUUGGCACCUCGAUGUCGGCUCAUCACAUCCUGGGGCUGAAGUAGGUCCCAAGGGUAUGGCUGUUCGCCAUUUAAAGUGGUACGCGAGCUGGGUUUAGAACGUCGUGAGACAGUUCGGUCCCUAUCUGCCGUGGGCGCUGGAGAACUGAGGGGGGCUGCUCCUAGUACGAGAGGACCGGAGUGGACGCAUCACUGGUGUUCGGGUUGUCAUGCCAAUGGCACUGCCCGGUAGCUAAAUGCGGAAGAGAUAAGUGCUGAAAGCAUCUAAGCACGAAACUUGCCCCGAGAUGAGUUCUCCCUGACUCCUUGAGAGUCCUGAAGGAACGUUGAAGACGACGACGUUGAUAGGCCGGGUGUGUAAGCGCAGCGAUGCGUUGAGCUAACCGGUACUAAUGAACCGUGAGG
This 993-nucleotide ribosomal RNA is filed under the name Escherichia coli. Its description in RNAcentral is "partial 23S ribosomal RNA". It matches the Rfam family "Bacterial large subunit ribosomal RNA", at positions 1929 to 2916 of the family's 2925-position model. Lineage: Bacteria; Pseudomonadati; Pseudomonadota; Gammaproteobacteria; Enterobacterales; Enterobacteriaceae. The record is from RNAcentral.